AGUGAACGCUGGCGGUAGGCCUAACACAUGCAAGUCGAACGGCAGCACAGGAGAGCUUGCUCUCUGGGUGGCGAGUGGCGGACGGGUGAGGAAUACAUCGGAAUCUACUCUGUCGUGGGGGAUAACGUAGGGAAACUUACGCUAAUACCGCAUACGACCUACGGGUGAAAGCAGGGGACCUUCGGGCCUUGCGUGAUUGAAUGAGCCGAUGUGGGAUUAGCUAAUUGGCGGGGUAAAGGCCCACCAAGGCGACGAUCCGUAGCUGGUCUGAGAGGAUGAUCAGCCACACUGGAACUGAGACACGGUCCAGACUCCUACGGGAGGCAGCAGUGGGGAAUAUUGGACAAUGGGCGCAAGCCUGAUCCAGCCAUACCGCGUGGGUGAAGAAGGCCUUCGGGUUGUAAAGCCCUUUUGUUGGGAAAGAAAUCCAGCUGGCUAAUACCCGGUUGGGAUGACGGUACCCAAAGAAUAAGCACCGGCUAACUUCGUGCCAGCCGCCGCCGUAA
RNAcentral lists this ribosomal RNA (506 nucleotides) under uncultured bacterium. Its description in RNAcentral is "partial 16S ribosomal RNA". It matches the Rfam family "Bacterial small subunit ribosomal RNA", at positions 29 to 523 of the family's 1533-position model. The record is from RNAcentral.